CUACAAACAUUGGAGGUCAAUGGACUAGCGGGCUCUACUGUGUGAGCCACUUGAAAUUUUCAAAGCGCAUUUCGUUUCCGCGAAUUUCGGAAUGUUUACCCACACUUUUGAAACAUGAUGUGAUGGUCAAACGGUGGCAAGGAGAUGCGA
Molecule: non-coding RNA, 150 nt
Organism: Caenorhabditis elegans
Lineage: Eukaryota; Metazoa; Nematoda; Chromadorea; Rhabditida; Rhabditidae
Source: Ensembl